RNAcentral lists this ribosomal RNA (430 nucleotides) under uncultured bacterium. RNAcentral's name for it is "bacterial SSU rRNA". It matches the Rfam family "Bacterial small subunit ribosomal RNA", at positions 355 to 776 of the family's 1533-position model. The record is from RNAcentral.
UGGGGAAUCUUCCGCAAUGGACGAAAGUCUGACGGAGCAACGCCGCGUGAGUGAAGAAGGUCUUCGGAUCGUAAAGCUCUGUCUUAGGGGACGAAAGAGCUGUGGCUAAAUACGCCAUGGCAGUGACGGUACUCUAAGAGGAAGCCCCGGCUAACUACGUGCCAGCAGCCGCGGUAAUACGUAGGGGGCGAGCGUUGUCCGGAAUUACUGGGCGUAAAGAGCGCGUAGGCGGCCUGCUAAGUCAGGUGUGAAAACUUAAGGCUCAACCUUAAGAUGGCAUUUGAAACUGACAGGCUUGAGGGCAGGAGAGGAGAGCGGAAUUCCUAGUGUAGCAGUGAAAUGCGUAGAUAUUAGGAGGAACACCAGUGGCGAAGGCGGCUCUCUGGACUGAACCUGACGCUGAGGUGCGAAAGCCAGGGGAGCAAACGGG